GGGCUGGCUUUAGCCCAGUGGUUCCUUCUAGUCUGGCUUCCCAACCGCCCCGGCAGAUUAGUCCGGUGGUUCGGGACCCGCGGGCGCUCUCCAGUCCUUAA
Cavia aperea (Brazilian guinea pig) is the source of this 101-nucleotide unclassified non-coding RNA. Its record names the gene Vault. It matches the Rfam family "Vault RNA". Rfam says of the family: This family of RNAs are found as part of the enigmatic vault ribonucleoprotein complex. The complex consists of a major vault protein (MVP), two minor vault proteins (VPARP and TEP1), and several small untranslated RNA molecules. It has been suggested that the vault complex is involved in drug resistance. The record is from Ensembl. NCBI's taxonomy places the organism in Eukaryota, Metazoa, Chordata, Mammalia, Rodentia, Caviidae.